GCUUUGCUCAUAAAAAAUGUAUUGUUGCUGCUAAUGGUGUUGGUGUUGUUCCAAACUACUUGCGGUUUAAGUCUUCAUCAGCCUAGACAAACCGUUAUAGCCACUAAUGAUUUGGGCGCAGAGAUGACCAUUCACUGCAAAUCCAAGCAGGAUGAUCUUGGUUCCCAUCUUAUCCCCAUUAAAGGCAAGUAUGAGUUUUCAUUUCGACCCAACUUUUGGGGGACAACACAAUUUUAUUGCAGUUUCCAAUGGGGAACAAAAUUUCACUAUUCCGAUAUAUACAUAGAUUCUAGAGACUUCAAGUUUGGUGAUACUAAUAAGUGUUUGUGGGGCAUAAUACCAAAAGGUCCUUGCAUGUGGAACUAUU
RNAcentral lists this long non-coding RNA (367 nucleotides) under Prunus dulcis (almond). Its description in RNAcentral is "sRNA ncRNA". The record is from RNAcentral. Lineage: Eukaryota; Viridiplantae; Streptophyta; Magnoliopsida; Rosales; Rosaceae.